UACGUAGGGUGCAAGCGUUAAUCGGAAUUACUGGGCGUAAAGCGUGCGCAGGCGGUCUUGCAAGACAGAUGUGAAAUCCCCGGGCUCAACCUGGGAAUGGCGAUGGAGACUGCAAGGCUAGAGUUUGGCAGAGGGGGGUAGAAUUCCACGUGUAGCAGUGAAAUGCGUAGAGAUGUGGAGGAACACCGAUGGCGAAGGCAGCCCCCUGGGUCAAAACUGACGCUCAUGCACGAAAGCGUGGGGAGCAAACAGG
RNAcentral lists this ribosomal RNA (253 nucleotides) under uncultured bacterium. Its description in RNAcentral is "partial 16S ribosomal RNA". It matches the Rfam family "Bacterial small subunit ribosomal RNA", at positions 524 to 776 of the family's 1533-position model. The record is from RNAcentral.